CCGCCUGGGGAGUACGGUCGCAAGAUUAAAACUCAAAGGAAUUGACGGGGACCCGCACAAGCGGUGGAUGAUGUGGAUUAAUUCGAUGCAACGCGAAAAACCUUACCUACCCUUGACAUGUACGGAAGCCCACUGAGAGGUGGGCGUGCUUGAAAGAGAACCGUAACACAGGUGCUGCAUGGCUGUCGUCAGCUCGUGUCGUGAGAUGUUGGGUUAAGUCCCGCAACGAGCGCAACCCUUGUCAUUAAUUGCCAUCAUUUAGUUGGGCACUUUAAUGAGACUGCCGGUGACAAACCGGAGGAAGGUGGGGAUGACGUCAAGUCCUCAUGGCCCUUAUGGGUAGGGCUUCACACGUCAUACAAUGGCCGGUACAGAGGGUUGCCAACCCGCGAGGGGGAGCCAAUCCCAGAAAGCCGGUCGUAGUCCGGAUUGUUCUCUGCAACUCGAGAGCAUGAAGUCGGAAUCGCUAGUAAUCGCGGAUCAGCAUGUCGCGGUGAAUACGUUCCCGGGUCUUGUACACACCGCCCGUCACACCAUGGGAGUGGGUGA
Molecule: ribosomal RNA, 549 nt
Filed under: uncultured beta proteobacterium
Lineage: Bacteria; Pseudomonadati; Pseudomonadota; Betaproteobacteria
Description: bacterial SSU rRNA
Rfam family: Bacterial small subunit ribosomal RNA
Source: RNAcentral